RNAcentral lists this ribosomal RNA (253 nucleotides) under uncultured bacterium. RNAcentral's name for it is "partial 16S ribosomal RNA". It matches the Rfam family "Bacterial small subunit ribosomal RNA", at positions 524 to 776 of the family's 1533-position model. The record is from RNAcentral.
UACGGAGGGGACUAGCGUUGUUCGGAAUUACUGGGCGUAAAGCGCGCGUAGGCGGAUUUGUAAGUCAGGGGUGAAAUCCCGGGGCUCAACCUCGGAAGUGCACACGAUACUGUCGGACUUGAGUACUGGAGAGGAGAGCGGAAUUCCCGGUGUAGAGGUGAAAUUCGUAGAUAUCGGGAGGAACACCAGUGGCGAAGGCGGCUCUCUGGACAGAUACUGACACUGAGAUGCGAAAGCGUGGGAAGCAAACAGG